This 20-nucleotide microRNA is filed under the name Corchorus capsularis. RNAcentral describes it as "sRNA CCACVL1_19856". Lineage: Eukaryota; Viridiplantae; Streptophyta; Magnoliopsida; Malvales; Malvaceae. The record is from RNAcentral.
AGUUUUUUUGGUUUUUUUUU